Molecule: non-coding RNA, 110 nt
Organism: Rhizobacter sp. Root1221
Lineage: Bacteria; Pseudomonadati; Pseudomonadota; Betaproteobacteria; Burkholderiales; Sphaerotilaceae
Source: Rfam
CAAGUCCACCGCAAUGAAGGAGUAGCGAUCCACAUUGGCCCCGAGCCGUGCUCAGGAAUCCGCGAUGGGUGUCGGCGAAGCGUCGGUAGGGGGACGAAAGAAUCAGCGCU